This 67-nucleotide microRNA precursor is filed under the name Bombyx mori (domestic silkworm). Its description in RNAcentral is "mir-2774 microRNA precursor family". It matches the Rfam family "mir-2774 microRNA precursor family". Lineage: Eukaryota; Metazoa; Arthropoda; Insecta; Lepidoptera; Bombycidae. The record is from Rfam by way of RNAcentral.
AUAAUAUUCGGAUUGUCAGUCUACUGAGCAAUAUCACGCGCUCGGUGGAAGAUCUUUCUUUUCUCGU